UGUCAGCUUUUAGAAGUUCACUUCUGAGGA
RNAcentral lists this non-coding RNA (30 nucleotides) under Mus musculus (house mouse). Lineage: Eukaryota; Metazoa; Chordata; Mammalia; Rodentia; Muridae. The record is from RNAcentral.